UUUGCUUCUUGGCCUUUUGGCUAAGGUCAAGUGUAGUAUCUGUUCUUAUCAGUUUAAUAUCUGAUAGUCCUCUAUCUGAGAACAAAUGUUAAAUGGAUUUUUGGAACAAGGAGAUGGAAUAGGAGCUCUGUCCACUCCACACGUCGUCCUGUUAUUGCAGUACCUCUAGGAAUGGUGUACCCCUC
Molecule: small nuclear RNA, 185 nt
Filed under: Castor canadensis (American beaver)
Lineage: Eukaryota; Metazoa; Chordata; Mammalia; Rodentia; Castoridae
Description: U2 spliceosomal RNA (ENSCCNG00000006981.1)
Rfam family: U2 spliceosomal RNA
About the family: U2 is a small nuclear RNA (snRNA) component of the spliceosome (involved in pre-mRNA splicing). Complementary binding between U2 snRNA (in an area lying towards the 5' end but 3' to hairpin I) and the branchpoint sequence (BPS) of the intron results the bulging out of an unpaired adenosine, on the BPS, which initiates a nucleophilic attack at the intronic 5' splice site, thus starting the first of two transesterification reactions that mediate splicing.
Source: Rfam by way of RNAcentral